Molecule: RNA transcript, 3314 nt
Organism: Hordeum vulgare subsp. vulgare (domesticated barley)
Lineage: Eukaryota; Viridiplantae; Streptophyta; Magnoliopsida; Poales; Poaceae
Gene name: lysine-specific demethylase JMJ25-like
Exons: 12
Source: RefSeq, a predicted model, not a curated record
GACCAACCCACCGGAAACCGAACCAAAACCAGCAGCGGCCGGAGCAGCAGCAGCGAGGAGCCUCGUAUCGAACCGCAACGGGCCGCCCCGUACGCGCGUUCCACGUGGCCGCUACUCCCUCCGCCCCUUCCCACCUCCGACGAAAACACCUGCGGGCUGCGGCCCUGCCCGCCCCGGCCAGAUUGCGCCCGACGGGAUAGGCGUCGUAGAUAAUAAAUCCGGGAGAUCGAAUCCCCGAAUCCGGGUUGCUCCCGCGGAUUGGAUCGUGCGCGGCGGCGGCGGCGGCGGCCAUGGGGGCGAUGGGUUGCCGUCGGGCCGGGGGGUCCGUGGGCUGGCAGUACGUCUUCAAGGAUGAGGAUGAGGAGGACGGGAGCGAGGACGCGCCGCUCCUGGAGGAGAAGGAGGGGGCGGACGAGGACUGGGAUGUCGAGAUGGAGAGGAGGGGGACGAAGAGGAAGGCGCCGCGCUCGUCGCGGCCGCAAAAGCUGCGGUGCGUCGCCACCCUCUGCGCCUCGCCUGCGUCGUCCGAUGCCGGGCCCCCGUCGUGGAGCGCCGUGCCCAAGGGGCGGCGCAGCGGAAACAGGGCCAAGAGGGGCCGCCCCGUCGCCGUGCCCUCGGAAACAGCUGCUCCCGCAGCAGAGGAGGCGACGCCGAGCACCAGCGCCUCGGGCCGCACCAAGGGUAGGAGGGCUUGCCACCAAUGCAAGUCGGGGAUGAGGCAGCAGAUGACCAAGUGUAAGCGAUGCCGCGACAAGAUCUACUGCGGCCGCUGCAUCAAUGAUAUGUACCCGGAGUUGUCGUUGGGCCAGGUUAGACUUCAGUGCCCAUCCUGCCGCGGAAUCUGCAAAUGUAAACGGUGCAACCCCAAGGAGCAGGGUGAACCCAAGAGUUCAGUUUUGAGGAAACGCAACGGCAGUAGAUCAGUAACGAAGAGAAAGAAGGCUAACACCUCAGGUGUAAAGUCAACUAGGUUUCGUAAUGAGGUGACGCAGGCGGAAGCAAAUGACAACUCCUUCCUAAGCUCCAAUGAGAUUAAUAGCACAUGUGUCAAAUUAGACAAGGUAGAUACAUUGGAUGCAAGAGCUGAUGAGAUUGCUUGUGAAACUAAAGUAAAACAUGCUAGAUAUCUGUUGCACUACCUGCUGCCUUGUUUGAGUGACCUGAACAGGGAUCAGAUGGUUGAGAGAGAAAUUGAGGCCAAAAUUCAAGGAUUGGAAUUGUCUGAACUGAGUGUUGAACAGGCUGACUGCCGGAAUGAUGAGAGGAUGUUCUGUGACAAUUGCAGAACUUCGAUCUUUGAUCUGCAUAGAAGCUGUCCAAACUGCUCAUAUGAAUUAUGCAUUGCGUGCUGUAAGGAGCUUCGUGGAAAUAAUCUAGAGGGCUCUUGUCGGGAAGAGCUGGUGUCUUAUCCUAAUAGAGGAAUCGACUAUAUGCAUGGUGGUGAUCCAUCGCCUGAGUUGAUAAACUGCGUACAACCACACUUUUCCAGUUGCCAGCCUAAGACUACUAAGUGGUGUGCUAAUACUGAUGGGACUAUAAAUUGCCCCCCACCUGAACUUGGUGGUUGUGGUGAUAUUGCCCUUAAGUUGAGGCAGAUGUUUCCAAAAGAUUGGUUAAAUAAUCUCGAAAGGGAUGCUCUACAGUUGAGUAAGCAGCUCGAACCUUCGGAUAUUGUCAGCGGAUAUACACAUGAAUGUCCAUGCUGUACUAAACAUGAAAAUGCAAGGCAUGCUGCCACCAGAGAUAAUUCAACAGAUAACUGCCUAUACUGUCCAAAAUCAGAUAAUGAGAAAGCAGAUGAUCUAACUCACUUCCAGAGUCACUGGGUGAAAGGAGAACCUGUUAUUGUUCAAGGGGUACUACAGAAAAUACCACAUUUGAGCUGGGAGCCACCACAUAUGUGGUCUGAAGUACAUGGUGAUAGUACCACCCCUGAUAUGAAAAAUGUGAAGUGUAUUGAUUGUUUAUCAUGUUGUGAGGUCGAGAUACGCACACAAGAUUUCUUCAAUGGAUACUAUUAUGGUCGGGUGUAUCAAAACGAAUGGCCCGAAAUGCUUAAAUUGAAAGACUGGCCUACUUCAAAUCAUUUUGAAGAGCUUUUGCCUUCGCAUGGAGUGGAAUACAUCAAUUCUUUACCCUUUCAACCGUACACAAAUUUGAAAUCUGGUUUGCUAAGUGUUUCCGCAUUGCUUCCCGAUGACAUUCUAAAGAUCGACAUGGGCCCGAAGUCAUACAUAGCUUAUGGCUAUGCACAGGAACUUGGCAGAGGAGAUUCUGUUACGAAGCUUCAUUGUGAUAUAUCUGACGCAGUUAACGUUUUGAUGCAUACUGCACAAGUUGCCCCUUCUAAAGGACAAGAAAAUGCAAUAAAAAACUUGAAAGCAAGACAUGAGGGACAAGAUGAAAAGGAAUGUUGUGGCAAUUUUUCAAUUGAUGGAAGUAAUGCAUGUCACAAAAAUUGCGUGGAUUCAAACCAUACACCCUCUCCUAACUACAGCAAGGACGAUGAGGGAGGUGCUUUAUGGGAUAUUUUCAGGAGGGAGGACGUUCCAGAACUGGAAACGUACCUUCGUAAACAUUCCAAGGAAUUUCGCCAUAUAUAUUGUUCUCCAGUUGAAAAGACAUUUAACCCUCUACACGAUGAAACAUUCUAUCUAACUGAGGAACAUAAAAGGAGACUUAAAGAGGAGCAUGGAGUCGAGCCUUGGACAUUUGUACAAAAACUUGGAGAGGCAGUUUUUAUCCCUGCUGGGUGCCCGCAUCAAGUACGGAAUCUCAAGUCUUGCACGAAAAUUGCUAUAGAUUUUGUAUCACCUGAGAAUGUCCAGGAGUGUGUCAAGUUAACUCAACAAUUCCGUGUGCUUCCUAAGAACCACAGGGCAAAAGAAGAUAAAUUAGAGUGCGUGGCUGAUGAGUUCUACGUCUAGAAUUUGGUGAACUUAUGACUCGGCAAGGUGAUUGUAAUCACUCAUCAUCAAGUUCCCCUUUAGUGCACAAAAGGUGGGAGGGGGGCCUUGCUAGGUCCCUGAUGAUCGCCACCACAGAAGAGUCAACACAUCUUUAAUAUCACAUCAAGUGUUUAUGGUGUCUGCAAUCUUUGGAGUCGAUGGUGCACUUCACUGUGGCUUAGGAAAGCGGUCAUAGUCACUCCACCACCAUUGGAUGACUAGUGAUGAUACCGGGAGUUGACACAUCUCCAACCAUUGCUAGGCCAAUAAGAGGAAGUCAUGCCAAACAAAUCCAUGCUCAGCUCUCAUUUGCACCUCUCCAGACACGUGGCUUUUCUCAACGCGUUCCUCUCCCAAACGCUGACA